UGGGCCCAGAAUCAAGGCCAGCAGUUUGCUGAAGCUGUUGGUUUCAAGCAGGAGCCUAAAGAAGGUCUUUCUGUGGUCUGUUGGCCAUUUCAGAACUAUGGAAUCUAAUGGUCAGUCGUUAGAAAGAAACUUCU
RNAcentral lists this small nucleolar RNA (134 nucleotides) under Camelus dromedarius (Arabian camel). The record is from RNAcentral. Lineage: Eukaryota; Metazoa; Chordata; Mammalia; Artiodactyla; Camelidae.